GCCCAGACCACCAGCUAAGGUCCCAAAAUAUAUGUUAAGUGGAAAAGGAUGUGGCGUUGCCCAGACAACUAGGAUGUUGGCUUAGAAGCAGCCAUCAUUUAAAGAGUGCGUAAUAGCUCACUAGUCGAGUGACACUGCGCCGAAAAUGUACCGGGGCUAAACAUAUUACCGAAGCUGUGGAUUGUCCUUUGGACAAUGGUAGGAGAGCGUUCUAAGGGCGUUGAAGCAUGAUCGUAAGGACAUGUGGAGCGCUUAGAAGUGAGAAUGCCGGUGUGAGUAGCGAAAGACGGGUGAGAAUCCCGUCCACCGAUUGACUAAGGUUUCCAGAGGAAGGCUCGUCCGCUCUGGGUUAGUCGGGUCCUAAGCUGAGGCCGACAGGCGUAGGCGAUGGAUAACAGGUUGAUAUUCCUGUACCACCUAUAAUCGUUUUAAUCGAUGGGGGGAC
This 445-nucleotide ribosomal RNA is filed under the name Staphylococcus aureus. Its description in RNAcentral is "partial 23S ribosomal RNA". It matches the Rfam family "Bacterial large subunit ribosomal RNA", at positions 1025 to 1473 of the family's 2925-position model. Lineage: Bacteria; Bacillati; Bacillota; Bacilli; Caryophanales; Staphylococcaceae. The record is from RNAcentral.